Long non-coding RNA from Salarias fasciatus (jewelled blenny), 728 nucleotides. RefSeq lists it as uncharacterized. NCBI's taxonomy places the organism in Eukaryota, Metazoa, Chordata, Actinopteri, Blenniiformes, Blenniidae. The transcript has 3 exons. The record is from RefSeq and is a predicted model, not a curated record.
UUUUCACACAUCCAUCAAUCCUUUGCUGACGUUGAUCAUCAGAGAUCAGGACAAAAUUCAUCCUGCAGUGUGUUUCGGCAUUAAGCUGUGAGCUUUUGGAUCUUCUAGCUGCAUAAAGGAGUCCAUCUGGAAGACAGAAACCGUCCAGCCGAGGCUGAUGUUGAGUUCAGGUUGGUGGGAGGAAGCUCUGGCUGUUCAGGUGGAGUGGAGCUGAAACACCUCGGAGAAUGGAGACCAGUGGACGACCUCUACUCGAACCUGAAGUUAUCAACUGCAGUCUGUGAACGUCUGGACUGUGGCUCUGCUGUUUCCGUGAAAACAUCUGAGUCAUCAUACAGAUCUGCGUGGAGUUUUGAAUAUGAAUGUUUCAAGUCUCCAUCAGAUUUGAAGAAUUGCUUCAGGUCCUCUUAUGCUUCCUCUUUCAUUAAUCUCACAUGCUCAGGUAAGACCAAUGUGGUUUCAAUUAACUCCAUGUUCUCAACAUGGUGAGUUCAGACAGAAAGCUUUCAACAUAACAUCACAGUUGAUGAAGCAUUAAAAAUUCAAGGUUUUUUAUUUUCCAUUUGUUCACAUAAACCAUUUCUGGUUGUAGGUACAAUGUUUUUUGAGGUUGUAGCUGUAGUGUUUGUGAUGGGGUUGUAGUUGCAGUGACCUCCUGUCCUGUGUUCAGACUCGGUGCGGCUGCUGAAUGGACCCAGUCGUUGUUCAGGCAGACUGCAGGUGAAGAC